CUUGUAGAUAAUUAAAACAAAAAGAAAUCGAAUAACCAGUGAAAACAGGUACGUGCUAAAUAUUUAUAUAAGUCUCAACUGUGAACAGAUAACUGUCUUCUCGGCCGUUGAGUAAAUUAGACGUUACUCUUCCGCAAGAUAACUAGUUUGAGCUUUUAAAUUACCAGUUUCUACGGAAACGAUAUAUUUGAAAAUCUAUACAAUGUGUGGUCGAACUAUAUAUGAAAUGAAAACCAAAAGAAAAAAAAACCUUCGCUUUAAAUGUCAUACGUACAAAGUAAUUAAGAUACCAGAAUGUUACAUGUGUUAUACCAAUAAUAAAUCGGUUUCCUACAAAAUAGAUGGAAAACAAGUUAGGCUUUUGGAUAGUGAAAUGCCUACCUUUUGCCAAACUGGAUCAACUAGACUAAAGAGAACAAAUGGUUUAAAACACUAAAGGCGUAGCGGACCGGUUAAUAGGUAAAAUAAAUGCGAAAGGGAAGGUCUAGUAUAUUGGUGAUGGUGAUGG
RNAcentral lists this long non-coding RNA (508 nucleotides) under Brassica napus (rape). Its description in RNAcentral is "long non-coding RNA (BNAP_LNC001025)". Lineage: Eukaryota; Viridiplantae; Streptophyta; Magnoliopsida; Brassicales; Brassicaceae. The record is from RNAcentral.